GCUGGCGGCAGCAACUGUGGAAGGGAAGAACAUAGUCACGUACCUACACGCUGCUUUUCAUUCUCUCCCACUCAGUCCUUCCUUCCGCUGCCUUCUCUGGGGGCCUUCAUUGGAUGUAUCUGUGUUCUCACCUUCCAUUUCCCUCUUUCUCUGGCUCCCAUUCCUCUCCCUUCAUUUCACCUUUUCAUCUGCCUGCCUCUUUCAUCAUCUCGUAUUUAUACAGCACCUAACAUCUGUUGGACGCUGGGAUUGGCACUGUGACUAUAACAAAGAUGACCGGGACAUGCUUCCUGUCCUCACGGAGCUUACAAGCAGUUGCUGAGUGUGUGUCUUCCAGGGAAAAGAAGAGGAAGCAGGAGAGGAAGCCCGCUGAGUUGGACGUCUGGAAAUCGAUUUCACCCUCUGUGACUGUGUAAACCACCUGCAGUGCCCUUUGACAGCAGAUGAGUUUUAAGAGAAUCCCAAAGAGAGUUUGCACUGGCAAGGCAAAACAUCCUAUUUCAACUCUUUAGAGAUACUUGUGGAGUUUAUGGGAGAAACGGCUUAAGAAAAUUUAAAGCCAGGAGAGUCAAUGGAAGGAGA
Molecule: long non-coding RNA, 582 nt
Filed under: Equus caballus (horse)
Lineage: Eukaryota; Metazoa; Chordata; Mammalia; Perissodactyla; Equidae
Description: lncRNA (ENSECAG00000050311.1)
Source: RNAcentral